This 368-nucleotide unclassified non-coding RNA is filed under the name Hevea brasiliensis (rubber tree). Lineage: Eukaryota; Viridiplantae; Streptophyta; Magnoliopsida; Malpighiales; Euphorbiaceae. The record is from RNAcentral.
UCGGCUUUUCCUCUCUCCUUCUUCUCCUCGAAGAGAAAGGAUUCUCCAAUCAGACUCCUCCGAUUCCAUACUUCUUCCAAAAAGAAUGAAAAUGAUUCUGAUCUUCGAUCUGAAUCCAAGGAUUCUAGCAUCGUCCCCUUCUUUGACAACCCUACCCUAUCCAAGGAUGCGGCCAUGGGAUUGGUUCUGAGUGCUGCUUCGGUAAGAGGCUGGACCACUGGUUCCGGCAUGGAAGGGCCCCCCGUGCCUGCCGGAGCUGAUGAAGGAUCGAAUACGGAGAAGGUUUCAACCUUGCCAUGGUCUCUCUUCACCAAAUCGCCGCGUAGGAGAAUGCGCGUUGCCUUCACCUGCAAUGUUUGCGGUCAAAG